GGGGACAUGCUGGAAUUGGCAGACAGGCAUGACUUAGGAUCAUGUGCCGCAAGGCGUGAGGGUUCAAGUCCCUCUGUCCCCA
This 82-nucleotide transfer RNA is filed under the name Chloroflexota bacterium. RNAcentral's name for it is "Chloroflexi bacterium tRNA-Leu". It matches the Rfam family "tRNA". Rfam says of the family: Transfer RNA (tRNA) molecules are approximately 80 nucleotides in length. Their secondary structure includes four short double-helical elements and three loops (D, anti-codon, and T loops). Further hydrogen bonds mediate the characteristic L-shaped molecular structure. tRNAs have two regions of fundamental functional importance: the anti-codon, which is responsible for specific mRNA codon recognition, and the 3' end, to which the tRNAs corresponding amino acid is attached (by aminoacyl-tRNA synthetases). tRNAs cope with the degeneracy of the genetic code in two manners: having more than one tRNA (with a specific anti-codon) for a particular amino acid; and 'wobble' base-pairing, i.e. permitting non-standard base-pairing at the 3rd anti-codon position. Lineage: Bacteria; Bacillati; Chloroflexota. The record is from RNAcentral.